GCCGCUGUAGCUCAGUUGGUAGAGCAGCUCACUUGUAAUGAGCAGGUCGCCGGUUCGAGUCCGGCCAGCGGCUCCA
This 76-nucleotide transfer RNA is filed under the name Candidatus Peregrinibacteria bacterium. Its description in RNAcentral is "tRNA-Thr". It matches the Rfam family "tRNA". From Rfam's summary of the family: Transfer RNA (tRNA) molecules are approximately 80 nucleotides in length. Their secondary structure includes four short double-helical elements and three loops (D, anti-codon, and T loops). The record is from RNAcentral. Lineage: Bacteria; Candidatus Peregrinibacteriota.